RNAcentral lists this transfer RNA (75 nucleotides) under Cordylochernes scorpioides. RNAcentral's name for it is "tRNA-Thr". The record is from RNAcentral. Lineage: Eukaryota; Metazoa; Arthropoda; Arachnida; Pseudoscorpiones; Chernetidae.
UGUCAAGGGAUAGGAAUCGAACCCACGACCUUCCGCUUACUGGGCAGAUGCCAUGACCACUAGGCUACCCUGGAC